GACGAACGCUGGCGGCGUGCUUAACACAUGCAAGUCGAACGAUGAUGCUCCAGCUUGCUGGGGUGGAUUAGUGGCGAACGGGUGAGUAACACGUGAGUAACCUGCCCUCUUCUUCGGGAUAAGCUUGGGAAACUGGGUCUAAUACUGGAUAUUCUGCAAUUGUCGCAUGGUGGUUGUGGGAAAGAUUUUUUGGUGGGGGAUGGGCUCGCGGCCUAUCAGCUUGUUGGUGGGGUGAUGGCCUACCAAGGCGUCGACGGGUAGCCGGCCUGAGAGGGUGACCGGCCACACUGGGACUGAGAUACGGCCCAGACUCCUACGGGAGGCAGCAGUGGGGAAUAUUGCACAAUGGGCGCAAGCUUGAUGCAGCGACGCCGCGUGAGGGAUGACGGCUUUCGGGUUGUAAACCUCUUUCGAUGGGGAACAAGGCCAUAUUUUUGUGUGGUUGAGGGUACCUGUAUAAGAAGCGCCGGCUAACUACGUG
RNAcentral lists this ribosomal RNA (481 nucleotides) under uncultured bacterium. RNAcentral describes it as "partial 16S ribosomal RNA". It matches the Rfam family "Bacterial small subunit ribosomal RNA", at positions 28 to 507 of the family's 1533-position model. The record is from RNAcentral.